This 252-nucleotide ribosomal RNA is filed under the name uncultured Gardnerella sp. RNAcentral describes it as "partial 16S ribosomal RNA". It matches the Rfam family "Bacterial small subunit ribosomal RNA", at positions 103 to 355 of the family's 1533-position model. Lineage: Bacteria; Bacillati; Actinomycetota; Actinomycetes; Bifidobacteriales; Bifidobacteriaceae. The record is from RNAcentral.
CGGGUGAGUAAUGCGUGACCAGCCUGCCCCAUGCUCCAGAAUAGCUCUUGGAAACGGGUGGUAAUGCUGGAUGCUCCAACUUGACGCAUGUCUUGUUGGGAAAGUGUUUAGUGGCAUGGGAUGGGGUCGCGUCCUAUCAGCUUGUAGGCGGGGUAAUGGCCCACCUAGGCUUCGACGGGUAGCCGGCCUGAGAGGGCGGACGGCCACAUUGGGACUGAGAUACGGCCCAGACUCCUACGGGAGGCAGCAGUA